RNAcentral lists this ribosomal RNA (253 nucleotides) under uncultured bacterium. RNAcentral describes it as "partial 16S ribosomal RNA". It matches the Rfam family "Bacterial small subunit ribosomal RNA", at positions 524 to 776 of the family's 1533-position model. The record is from RNAcentral.
UACGUAGGUGACAAGCGUUGUCCGGAAUUACUGGGCGUAAAGAGCUCGUAGGUGGUUUGUCGCGUUGUUCGUGAAAACUCACAGCUCAACUGUGGGCGUGCGGGCGAUACGGGCAGACUUGAGUACUGCAGGGGAGACUGGAAUUCCUGGUGUAGCGGUGGAAUGCGCAGAUAUCAGGAGGAACACCGGUGGCGAAGGCGGGUCUCUGGGCAGUAACUGACGCUGAGGAGCGAAAGCGUGGGGAGCGAACAGG